RNAcentral lists this ribosomal RNA (425 nucleotides) under uncultured bacterium. Its description in RNAcentral is "bacterial SSU rRNA". It matches the Rfam family "Bacterial small subunit ribosomal RNA", at positions 354 to 796 of the family's 1533-position model. The record is from RNAcentral.
GUGGGGAAUUUUGCGCAAUGGGCGAAAGCCUGACGCAGCGACGCCGCGUGGAGGAUGAAGGUCUUCGGAUUGUAAACUCCUUUUGUAGGGAAAGAUAAUGACGGUACCCUACGAAUAAGCCACGGCUAACUCUGUGCCAGCAGCCGCGGUAAGACAGAGGUGGCAAGCGUUGUUCGGAAUUACUGGGCUUAAAGGGCGCGUAGGUGUCCUGGCAAGUCAGAUGUGGAAUCUUUCUGCUUAACGGAAAAAUUGCAUUUGAAACUGCCGGGAUUGAGUCAGACAGGGGAUGGCGGAAUUCCUGGUGUAGCGGUGAAAUGCGUAGAUAUCAGGAGGAAGGCCUGUGGUGAAGACGGCCAUCUGGGUCUGAACUGACACUGAGGCGCGAAAGCGUGGGUAGCAAACAGGAUUAGAUACCCCAGUAGUCC